AAUUUUAUAGAGUGAAAAUGAAACCAGCGAUAGUUGCAGAUGAAAUGUUUCCAGAGGGAGCUGGACCCUAUAUGGACAUUGAAGAGAUUUUGAAGAUCUGUUCGACGACGAAGACUUGGCGUGAUGAUUAGGCCGGCGGUCACCACAAAGUCAACAAUCUUGGAGUGACCUUGGAAUCAUUUCUUGGAAUUACGCAUUGAGUCAAAAUCUUCUGGAGUUACUUGUUGGAUGCUGACUUUAGUUGACAAUGCAACUUUAAGAAUUGACAGCCAUUCUGAAUUUCAUCAAUACAAACCCUUGAUCUGACCUUGGACAGUUGUGUCAAUUUCAUUAACUAUCAUAAAAUUGUCUUGUGGUAAAUGGAUGGUGUGUAAAGUAGUCACAUCUUUACAGAAUUCUAACAACAGAAUGAGAACUGCAAUCUGUGUGUCGCACUGUGGAGAAUCAUUGUAUUGAUUUCCACACAUCAAACUUCAUGAUCUGUUUCUCUUUUAAUGUUUUUUGUGUUCAUGUGUCGUUUAUAUGUAUUUGUCAAAAUUAUGUAAUAAAUUUUUAAUAUGAUUUUA
Molecule: long non-coding RNA, 566 nt
Organism: Ylistrum balloti
Lineage: Eukaryota; Metazoa; Mollusca; Bivalvia; Pectinida; Pectinidae
Exons: 2
Source: RefSeq, a predicted model, not a curated record